UUAAUGAACUAUUUUGGGAGACCUAUGUGA
RNAcentral lists this non-coding RNA (30 nucleotides) under Mus musculus (house mouse). Lineage: Eukaryota; Metazoa; Chordata; Mammalia; Rodentia; Muridae. The record is from RNAcentral.